GAUGAACGCUGGCGGCGUGCCUAAUACAUGCAAGUCGAGCGAACGGACGAGAAGCUUGCUUCUCUGAUGUUAGCGGCGGACGGGUGAGUAACACGUGGAUAACCUACCUAUAAGACUGGGAUAACUUCGGGAAACCGGAGCUAAUACCGGAUAAUAUUUUGAACCGCAUGGUUCAAAAGUGAAAGACGGUCUUGCUGUCACUUAUAGAUGGAUCCGCGCUGCAUUAGCUAGUUGGUAAGGUAACGGCUUACCAAGGCAACGAUGCAUAGCCGACCUGAGAGGGUGAGCGGCCACACUGGAACUGAGACACGGUCCAGACUCCUACGGGAGGCAGCAGUAGGGAAUCUGCCGCAAUGGGCGAAAGCCUGACGGAGCAACGCCGCGUGAGUGAUGAAGGUCUUCGGAUCGUAAAACUCUGUUAUUAGGGAAGAACAUAUGUGUAAGUAACUGUGCACAUCUUGACGGUACCUAAGCAGAAAGCCACGGCUAACUACGU
This 496-nucleotide ribosomal RNA is filed under the name uncultured bacterium. RNAcentral describes it as "partial 16S ribosomal RNA". It matches the Rfam family "Bacterial small subunit ribosomal RNA", at positions 28 to 506 of the family's 1533-position model. The record is from RNAcentral.